This 342-nucleotide unclassified non-coding RNA is filed under the name soil metagenome. RNAcentral describes it as "partial contains 5.8S ribosomal RNA, internal transcribed spacer 2, and large subunit ribosomal RNA". The stretch from base 6 to 121 matches the Rfam family "5.8S ribosomal RNA", at positions 39 to 154 of the family's 154-position model. The record is from RNAcentral.
GAUGAAAGAACGUAGCGAAAUGCGAUAAGUAGUGUGAAUUGCAGAAUUCAGUGAAUCAUCGAAUCUUUGAACGCACAUUGCGCCCUUUGGUAUUCCAAAGGGCAUGCCUGUUCGAGCGUCAUUUGUACCCUCAAGCUUUGCUUGGUGUUGGGCGUCUUGUCUCUAGCUUUGCUGGAGACUCGCCUUAAAGUAAUUGGCAGCCGGCCUACUGGUUUCGGAGCGCAGCACAAGUCGCACUCUCUAUCAGCAAAGGUCUAGCAUCCACUAAGCCUUUUUUUCAACUUUUGACCUCGGAUCAGGUAGGGAUACCCGCUGAACUUAAGCAUAUCAAUAAGCGGAGGA